This 253-nucleotide ribosomal RNA is filed under the name uncultured bacterium. Its description in RNAcentral is "partial 16S ribosomal RNA". It matches the Rfam family "Bacterial small subunit ribosomal RNA", at positions 524 to 776 of the family's 1533-position model. The record is from RNAcentral.
UACGUAGGUGGCAAGCGUUGUUCGGAAUUAUUGGGCGUAAAGGGCGCGUAGGCGGUUUGUUAAGUCGGUUGUGAAAGCCCGGGGCUCAACCCCGGAGGGUCGACCGAUACUGGCAGGCUAGAGUACAGAAGAGGUAGCUGGAAUUCCCGGUGUAGCGGUGAAAUGCGUAGAUAUCCGGAGGAACACCGAAGGCGAAGGCAGUGUCCUGGCGCGUAACUGACGCUGAGGUGCGAAAGCCAGGGGAGCGAACGAG